GAUGAACGCUAGCGGCAGGCUUAACACAUGCAAGUCGAGGGGCAGCACGGACUUCGGUCUGGUGGCGACCGGCAAACGGGUGCGGAACACGUACACAAUCUACCUUUAUCUGGGGUAUAGCCCGAAGAAAUUCGGAUUAAUCCCCCAUAAUAUAUUAGAGUGGCAUCACUUCGAUAUUAAAACUCCGGUGGAUAAAGAUGAGUGUGCGUCCCAUUAGCUAGUUGGUAGGGUAACGGCCUACCAAGGCAACGAUGGGUAGCUGGUGUGAGAGCACAACCAACCACACGUGCACUGAGACACGGGCCCGACUCCUACGGGAGGCAGCAGUGAGGAAUAUUGGUCAAUGGACGAAAGUCUGAACCAGCCAUGCCGCGUGAAGGAUGAAGGCCUUCUGGGUUGUAAACUUCUUUUAUUGGGGAAGAAAAUUACGGUUUCUACUGUAACCGACGGUACCCAAGGAAUAAGCACCGGCUAACUCCGUGCCAGCCGCCGCGGUAA
RNAcentral lists this ribosomal RNA (498 nucleotides) under uncultured bacterium. RNAcentral's name for it is "partial 16S ribosomal RNA". It matches the Rfam family "Bacterial small subunit ribosomal RNA", at positions 28 to 523 of the family's 1533-position model. The record is from RNAcentral.